Molecule: ribosomal RNA, 465 nt
Filed under: uncultured bacterium
Lineage: Bacteria
Description: partial 16S ribosomal RNA
Rfam family: Bacterial small subunit ribosomal RNA
Source: RNAcentral
GAUGAACGCUGGCGGCGUGCCUAACACAUGCAAGUCGAGCGGAGAAUUGUUGCUUGCAACCCUUCUUAGCGGCGGACGGGUGAGUAACACGUGGGUAACCUGCCCUAAACAAAGGGAUAACAAUGAGAAAUCAUUGCUAAUACCGUAUAAGCUUACACUAUCGCAUGAUAGAGUAAGAAAAGAUUUAUCGGUUUAGGAGGGGCCCGCGUCUGAUUAGCUAGUUGGAGAGGUAACGGCUCACCAAGGCGACGAUCAGUAGCCGACCUGAGAGGGUGAUCGGCCACAUUGGGACUGAGACACGGCCCAAACUCCUACGGGAGGCAGCAGUGGGGAAUAUUGCACAAUGGAGGAAACUCUGAUGCAGCAACGCCGCGUGAAGGAAGAAGGUUUUCGGAUCGUAAACUUCUAUCUACAGGGAAGAAAAAAAUGACGGUACCUGAGUAAGAAGCCCCGGCUAACUACGUG